RNAcentral lists this ribosomal RNA (474 nucleotides) under Carphurus dumogaensis. RNAcentral's name for it is "partial 16S ribosomal RNA". The stretch from base 338 to 474 matches the Rfam family "Bacterial large subunit ribosomal RNA", at positions 2473 to 2610 of the family's 2925-position model. The record is from RNAcentral. Lineage: Eukaryota; Metazoa; Arthropoda; Insecta; Coleoptera; Melyridae.
UUAAAUGGCCGCAGUAUUUUGACUGUGCUAAGGUAGCAUAAUAAAUAGUUUUUUAAUUGAAAGCUGGUAUGAAUGAUUGAAUGAGAUAAAAGCUGUCUUAAAUUUAAAAAUUGAAUUUUAUAUUUAAGUUAAAAAGCUUAAAUAAAAUUAAAAGACGAGAAGACCCUAUAGAGUUUAAUAAUUUUAAAUUUUAAAAUUUUUUUAUAAAAUAUAUUAUAAUAUUUAAAAUUAUUUUGUUGGGGUGAUAGAAAAAUUUAAUAAACUUUUUUUUUUAUUAACAUUGAUUUAUGUAUUUAUGAUCCAUUAUUUAAUGAUUAAAAGAAUUAAUUACCUUAGGGAUAACAGCGUAAUUAUUUUUAAGAGUUCUUAUCAAAAAAAUAGAUUGNGACCUCGAUGUUGGAUUAAAGUUAAUUUUUGGUGUAGAAGCUAAGAUUUUAAGUCUGUUCGACUUUUGAAACUUUACAUGAUCUGAGU